GACGGAGGGUGCAAACGUUGUUCGGAAUCACUGGGCGUAAAGCGCGCGUAGGCGGACUUGUAAGUCGGGAGUGAAAACUCGGGGCUCAACCCCGAGCCUGCUUCCGAAACUGCGAGUCUUGAGGACCGGAGAGGAAAGUGGAAUUCCUAGUGUAGCGGUGGAAUGCGUAGAUAUUAGGAAGAACACCAGUGGCGAAGGCGACUUUCUGGACGGUUCCUGACGCUGAGGCGCGAAAGCUAGGGGAGCGAACGGG
This 253-nucleotide ribosomal RNA is filed under the name uncultured bacterium. Its description in RNAcentral is "partial 16S ribosomal RNA". It matches the Rfam family "Bacterial small subunit ribosomal RNA", at positions 524 to 776 of the family's 1533-position model. The record is from RNAcentral.